GCCUGGAUUGGCCCAGCUCUUUGGGGCUGGACCCCCGAGGGCCCCGUGGCGCUUUCUUCAGCCUGGAGCGCCAGGUCUCCAGGGCGCUCGGUGCCAGGAGCUACUCUGCCUGUCCUCCCAGCGCUCCGCCACUAUUGACAACCCUUGAAAAUUGGAACAAUAGAUCAAGCUCUUCGCUGCCCUCCGCAUGGCACCAGGACCUCGCCUUCUAUUUCAAUUGUCUGAGAAGAAGAAACCGAGAACCGAGAAAAGCCAAGCCCUGUGCGCGCGGCCCGCGCUGGGCGUGGAGUAGCUGGGCCGCGCGCUGAGCCAGGCGGGGCUCGGCCCCCCGGGACCCCCGGGACCCCCGGACCCAGCACUCGCGGGGAGGAUGGGCGGGAUGGCGCCAUCCUGAUUCCGCCUCCACCUGGGGAAGGGAGCGGCUCACAGCCCCUCUGCUCAGCACUAGCUGGCGGCGGGGGGCACGGCCAGCUCAGCCUGGCUCCUUUCCAAGGACCUAAUCUCAAGAGCGCUCCUGCUCAAUGCUGCCACCCCAUGGAGGGAAGCUGCAGGCCGCACCACGUCCCAGGGACAGGGGCCCUGACCUCACACCCACCUGCUCCUCCAGGGAGGCCAGUCUUUGCUCCACAGAGCCCGACCUCUUCAGACGGUCCAUGUCCAGCAGGUCCACCAUGGUGUCCACCCUGGAAGAGGACACAGUGAGCCCAACAUAGGCCAGGCCUGGGGUCCAGGAUGUGAAGGGCUUCUCUGGAUCCCUGUGACUCAGUCACUGUGAGGUGUAAGAACUGUCUAGAUCUGCAGCCUCAGAGCUUGUCGGAGACCUCAGCCCACGGCACUGGUGCAGAGCAGGAGCUGAGUUGGCUCCACUCAGCCAUGGCCUUGUGAGUCCACAGUCAUGGCAGGCACAGACCCUCGAGGGGAGGGUGACCAGGCUGGGAGCCUCGGCAAGAUUCUAUUGAUGUACACAGACUUUUGUCAAAGACCCGACUGCAACAGAUUCUGGCCAGCACAAGCAGUGUCCCUGCUUACCAGCAACAUUCCGUCAAGCAUGCUCUGUCAGGCUUGUCUUGGGAAAUUUAUAUUUUAACUGAGCUUUUUCAAGCUCAGGAUGUAAUGAGAGGAGCCUGACUUCUUCUGAGUCCCUCAGCUGGGAGUCAGGCAUCAGACUAACUCCGAGUCCCCGCAGCCACCAGAGCCAGGGCUGAGGCCGGACCUGUACCCAGGGGCCGAGCUCCUUAGGCAGACACCAUAGCGUCACCCUGAGGCACUCAGGCCAAACUGCAAUGGUCAUAGCAGCGGACACCGAGUUGUCCGACUUUCUGCCUUUCCUGGGCCUCCAGUUCCUCCUCACUGGUAACUCUUCCUCCUCACUGGUAACUCCUGCUCCAUAAGAGAGGACUGGGUGAGAUGGCCCAGGGAAGCCUAGCCCACAAGGACCCCUGACACACUGUGGCCACUGGUGUCCAGCCCUAACUGUAAUGACUGUCACUGCUGCUGCAGCCUUCAGCUUCAGGGCCUGUGUAGAGCGUCCUGCCUUCCAGACACACUCCUGACCACCCUCCUCCCAUGCCAGGGCCCUGGGCACAGCCAUUGCUCAGAGUCAAAUGCUUCCAGACAAGGUCAUCGAAGCCAUCACUGGCCACAGCACAUAAGGAAUGGUGCUCAGAGCCCUGCAUGGACCCCACAUGCGUCCUCUUUAACUAGAUCAGGGGGGUCCAACAUGCCGUUCUCAGGCAUGCAUUUUGUGAGGACUUUUUUUGCUUAUCUGUGGUGUUGGAUAUCAUGAAAAUAUGCACAGGACUUUUGGGGUUUUUUUGUUAAUCAGCUUUUGUUAGUCUUUGUGUAUUUACUGUGUAUCCCAAGACAACUCUUCUUUUAAUGUGUGGCAGAGAAGCCAAAAAGUUGGACAUCCCUGAAGUAGACCACCAGAGCAGGCUGGUGCUGAGCAGGCCUGGAGACUGCUGCCCAGCCUCUUGCAAUCCCGCUGGGCCAGGGGCCAGCUGCAGCUCUGGGGUCACACAGGAUCGGCUCAGCACCUGCUACACUGAGCCUGCUCUAGGUCCCAGGAUACUGUGGGGACAGGAGGGACUUUGUCCUUGUUGACAUGGACCUUAUUAUCUCCAUAAAGGGGACAGGGAGACAUUAACCCAACCCACUGGCUCAUCCACUUACAAACCCACCAACCCACAGACCAACAUUCAGUAUUUUAAAAAGACAGAAUGGGGACAAAGUGGGUGGAGGGCAGGGUAGGUCCUCCAGAGAAGUGAUGCAGCAACUCCUGUCUUUCUCUGGGAGAAGACUCUCCCAAGCACAGGACAUGCCAAGGGCUCAACUGGAAGUCACUGUGCCAAGACUCAAGCAGACGGGUCUUCUAGCAUGGAGGCUAGAAGGGGCGCUGACCAUCAGGGGUCACUGAGGGACUCACCAUUGUCACCAUCGUCACCACCAGUGUCAUCACUAACCAUCAUCACCACCACCAUCACCACCAUUAGUACCAUCACCUGUGGUUCACCAUCAUACCAUCACCACCAUUCACCGUGGUUGCCACCGUCACCAUCACCAUCAUACCAUCAUCACCAUUCACCGUGGUCGCCACCGUCACCAUCACCGUCAUCAUUACUCAUGUUGCUAAAAGCAACACCUGCACCAGCUCUGUAUGUGCUCAGUGCUUUACAGGCAUAAUCCCACUGUGUUCCAGAAACAACUGCAGGCAAUGAUGCUAUUAACAUGGUCUCCACGUUAUGGAGGUGGUCAGGGAGGCACAGACAAAGGCUCAUUCAUAGCUCUAAGGAAGGGCCACUUAGCCUGGUCUACCCAGAGCCCACGUUCUUGGCCUCCCCUGCAGCUCCAAGAUGCCCCACUCGAUGGCUGGCAGGCACCUCCACUGCCAUAACCAAUGACAACAUGUCCCUUCCUCCCGCUCCUCCCCUCAUGCAGUGAGGAGCCUGGGGCCAGGCAGGGGCAGAGCCUGGACGCAGCAGGACGUGGGGCCAGGCUCUCCCAGCUGUCUGUUGCUGGCAGUCAGGCCCUGCUGGAACCCAUCAAUGCCGAGGGGAGGAAGCAGAAAGAUCUUUCCCCAACACUGACCCCACAGGUGGGAGGGGUGGCGAGGAGGCAGUGCUGACCAGCCCUGCUGCUGAGACUCAGAGGCUGCCCAAGGUCAUGCACCAACAAGCUCAGGGGGCAGACCAUCCCCACUUGUGAACUCCCAGCAGACAGCUUCCCAGGCCUCUGGUUGGCCUUCUACGGCCCGUCCUGCCCUCCUCCAGCCCAUGAGGCUUCCCCUCCAGGCCUCCCUCAGCCCCAGAGGGAGGGCACAGGCCUGGCUGUCUGUGGAGGUGCCAAGGUCACAGACUGCAGUUUCCCUCCUGGGGCGGUGUGUUGGCUCCUGAGGUGGGGUGCAUGCUGCACUCACGCAGCAUUGUGGGGGCUGGGGGCUGCCCGGGUCCC
Nycticebus coucang (slow loris) is the source of this 3450-nucleotide long non-coding RNA. RefSeq lists it as uncharacterized. The transcript is spliced from 3 exons. Lineage: Eukaryota; Metazoa; Chordata; Mammalia; Primates; Lorisidae. The record is from RefSeq and is a predicted model, not a curated record.